RNAcentral lists this ribosomal RNA (330 nucleotides) under uncultured bacterium. RNAcentral describes it as "bacterial SSU rRNA". It matches the Rfam family "Bacterial small subunit ribosomal RNA", at positions 568 to 898 of the family's 1533-position model. The record is from RNAcentral.
CGCGUAGGCGGACAGUUAAGUCGGGGGUGAAAGCCCGGGGCUCAACCUCGGAAUUGCCUUCGAUACUGGCUGUCUUGAGUACGGGAGAGGUGUGUGGAACUCCGAGUGUAGAGGUGAAAUUCGUAGAUAUUCGGAAGAACACCAGUGGCGAAGGCGACACACUGGCCCGUUACUGACGCUGAGGCGCGAAAGCGUGGGGAGCAAACAGGAUUAGAUACCCUGGUAGUCCACGCUGUAAACGAUGAGUGCUAGUUGUCGGUAUGCAUGCAUAUCGGUGACGCAGCUAACGCAUUAAGCACUCCGCCUGGGGAGUACGGUCGCAAGAUUAAA